GAUGAACGCUAGCUACAGGCUUAACACAUGCAAGUCGAGGGGCAGCAUGAAAGGAACUUCGGUUCUUUUUGAUGGCGACCGGCGCACGGGUGCGUAACGCGUAUCGAACCUGCCUCAUACUCGGGGAUAGCCUUGCGAAAGUAAGAUUAAUACCCGGCGGUCUCGGAUGGCCGCAUGACUAUCCGAGUGAAGAUUUAUCGGUAUGAGAUGGCGAUGCGUCCCAUUAGCUAGUUGGUGAGGUAAUGGCUCACCAAGGCAUCGAUGGGUAGGGGUUCUGAGAGGAAGGUCCCCCACAUUGGAACUGAGACACGGUCCAAACUCCUACGGGAGGCAGCAGUGAGGAAUAUUGGUCAAUGGACGAAAGUCUGAACCAGCCAAGUAGCGUGCAGGAAGACGGCCCUCUGGGUUGUAAACUGCUUUUAGUUGGGAAUAAAAAGAGGGACGUGUCCCUUAUUGUAUGUACCAUCAGAAAAAGGACCGGCUAAUUCCGUGCCAGCAGCCGCGGUAAUACGGAAGGUCCAGGCGUUAUCCGGAUUUAUUGGGUUUAAAGGGAGCGCAGGCGGCGGCGUAAGUCAGUUGUGAAAUCGUGCGGCUUAACCGUGCAAUUGCAGUUGAUACUGCGUCGCUUGAGUGCACACAGGGAUGUUGGAAUUCAUGGUGUAGCGGUGAAAUGCUUAGAUAUCAUGAAGAACUCCGAUCGCGAAGGCAUAUGUCCGGAGUGCAACUGACGCUGAGGCUCGAAAGUGUGGGUAUCAAACAGG
Molecule: ribosomal RNA, 761 nt
Filed under: uncultured bacterium
Lineage: Bacteria
Description: bacterial SSU rRNA
Rfam family: Bacterial small subunit ribosomal RNA
Source: RNAcentral